RNAcentral lists this ribosomal RNA (253 nucleotides) under uncultured bacterium. RNAcentral's name for it is "partial 16S ribosomal RNA". It matches the Rfam family "Bacterial small subunit ribosomal RNA", at positions 524 to 776 of the family's 1533-position model. The record is from RNAcentral.
UACGAGAGGCCCAAACGUUAUUCGGAUUUACUGGGCUUAAAGAGUUCGUAGGCCGCGCGGAAAGUAGGGUGUGAAAGCCCUCGGCUCAACCGAGGAACUGCGCUCUAAACUACCGUGCUUGAGGAACCUAGAGGUGAGCAGAACUGAUGGUGGAGCGGUGAAAUGCGUUGAUAUCAUCAGGAAUACCGGAGGCGAAGGCGGCUCACUGGGUCUCUUCUGACGCUGAGGAACGAAAGCUAGGGGAGCAAACGGG